Molecule: long non-coding RNA, 8564 nt
Filed under: Durio zibethinus
Lineage: Eukaryota; Viridiplantae; Streptophyta; Magnoliopsida; Malvales; Malvaceae
Description: long non-coding RNA (DZIB_LNC001693)
Source: RNAcentral
AUAUCCAAAUAUCAAGAUCAUUCAUAUGUAAUUCCUCAAACAUCCUCAGAGCACCUAAAAAUGUGUCUAAAAGCAAAAUAAAGUAUGAAAAACGACGAAAAAUUAAAAUCGUGCAAUAAUCGUGCGAAUGGUUUUUAUGCCCAUAAUUGUUCAGAAACAAAGUCUGAUGUUUUAAGCUCCAAAAUCCUUUCUAACUUACACGUAACACUAUGAAAAAUUAAGAACCGACGCAAGUUUUUACUUUGUUUGGGAAAGUUUAAAACAUUGGAUUCAAGAUAUUCAAAUUCAUUUCCAUUUAAAAACCCGCCAAAACAAUGCUUUCAUAUUUUAAAGCUUGACUUGACUCAGUGAAAAUCGUUUUCAAAGCAAAACAUAAAAUUUCAAAAGGAUUAGGCUUCGAGUGCUCCCCCCUGCAAACUGCUGAAACAAUUUACCACAUAAUUAAUCACAUCAAGCACCGAUAACAACUUCACAAAUAAUAUCCAAAUAUCAAGAUCAUUCAUAUGUAAUCCUCAAACAUCCUCAGAGCACCUAAAAAUGUGUCUAAAAGCAAAAUAAAGUAUGAAAAACGACGAAAAAUUAAAAUCGUGCAAUAAUCGUGCGAAUGGUUUUUAUGCCCAUAAUUGUUCAGAAACAAAGUCUGAUGUUUUUAAGCUCCAAAAUCCUUUCUAACUUACACGUAACACUAUGAAAAAUUAAAACCGACGCAAGUUUUUACUUUGUUUCUUUGUUGAGAAAGUUUAAAAACGUUGGAUUCAAGAUAUUCAAAUUCAUUUCCAUUUAAAAACCCGCCAAAACAAUGCUUUUCAUAUUUUAAAAGCUUGACUCCAGUGAAAAUCGUUUUCAGAGCAAAAACAUAAAAUUUCCAUUCAAAAGGAUUAGGCUUCGAGUGCUCCCCCUGCAAACUGCUAGAGCAAUUUACCACAUAAUUAAUCACAUCAAACAACUUCACAAAUGAUAUCCAAAUAUCAAGAUCAUUCAUAUGUAAUCCUCAAUCCUCAGAGCACCUAAAAAUGUAUCUAAAAGCAAAAUGAGUAUGAAAAACGACGAAAAAUUAAAAUCGUGCAAUAACCGUGCGAAUGGUUUUUACGCCCAUAAUUGCUCAGAAACAAAGUCUGAUGUUUUUAAGCUCCAAAAUCCUUUCUAACUUACACGUAACGCUAUGAAAAAUUAAAACCGACGCAAGUUUUUUACUUUGUUUCUUUGUUUGAGAAAAGUUUAAAAACGUUGGAUUCAAGAUAUUCAAAUUCAUUUCCAUUUAAAAACCCGCCAAAACAAUGCUUUUCAUAUUUUAAAAGCUUGACUCCAGUGAAAAUCGUUUUCAGAGCAAAACAUAAAAUUUCCAUUUCAAAAGGAUUAGGCUUCGAGUGCUCCUCCCCCUGCAAACUGCUAGAGCAAUUUACCACAUAAUUAAUCACAUCAAACAACUUCACAAAUGAUAUCCAAAUAUCAAGAUCAUUCAUAUGUAAUCCCUCAACAUCCUCAGAGCACCUAAAAAUGUAUCUAAAAGCAAAAUGAGUAUGAAAAACGACGAAAAAUUAAAAUCGUGCAAUAACCGUGCGAAUGGUUUUUACGCCCAUAAUUGCUCAGAAACAAAGUCUGAUGUUUUUAAGCUCCAAAAUCCUUUCUAACGUACACGUAACGCUAUGAAAAAUUAAAACCGACGCAAGUUUUUUACUUUGUUUCUUUGUUUGAGAAAAGUUAAAAACGUUGGAUUCAAGAUAUUCAAAUUCAUUUCCAUUUAAAACCCGCCAAAACAAUGCUUUUCAUAUUUUAAAAGCUUGACUCCAGUGAAAAUCGUUUUCAGAGCAAAACAUAAAAUUUCCAUUUCAAAAGGAUUAGGCUUCGAGUGCUCCCCCUCCAACUGCUAAAGCAAUUUACCACAUAAUUAAUCACAUCAAACAACUUCACAAAUUGAUAUCCAAAUAUCAAGAUCAUUCAUAUGUGAACAUCCUCAGAGCACCUAAAAAUGUAUCUAAAAGCAAAAUGAGUAUGAAAAACGACGAAAAAUUAAAAUCGUGCAAUAACCGUGCGAAUGGUUUUUACGCCCAUAAUUGCUCAGAAACAAAGUCUGAUGUUUUUAAGCUCCAAAAUCCUUUCUAACGUACACGUAACGCUAUGAAAAAUUAAAACCGACGCAAGUUUUUUACUUUGUUUCUUUGUUUGAGAAAAGUUUGAAAACGUUGGAUUCAAGAUAUUCAAAUUCAUUUCCAUUUAAAACCCGCCAAAACAAUGCUUUUCAUAUUUUAAAAGCUUGACUCCAGUGAAAAUCAUUUUCAGAGCAAAACAUAAAAUUUCCAUUUCAAAAGGAUUAGGCUUCGAGUGCUCUCCCUGCAAACUGCUAGAGCAAUUUACCACAUAAUUAAUCACAUCAAACAACUUCACAAAUGAUAUCCAAAUAUCAAGAUCAUUCAUAUGUAAUCCCUCAACAUCCUCAGAGCACCUAAAAAUGUAUCUAAAAGCAAAAUGAGUAUUGAAAAACGACGAAAAAUUAAAAUCGUGCAAUAACCGUGCGAAUGGUUUUUACGCCCAUAAUUGCUCAGAAACAAAGUCUGAUGUUUUUAAGCUCCAAAAUCCUUUCUAACGUUACACGUAACGCUAUGAAAAAUUAAAACCGACGCAAGUUUUUUACUUUGUUUCUUUGUUUGAGAAAAGUUUAAAAACGUUGGAUUCAAGAUAUUCAAAUUCAUUUCCAUUUAAAAACCCGCCAAAACAAUGCUUUUCAUAUUUUAAAAGCUUGACUCCAGUGAAAAUCGUUUUCAGAGCAAAACAUAAAAUUUCCAUUUCAAAAGGAUUAGGCUUCGAGUGCUCUCCCCUGCAAACUGCUAAAGCAAUUUACCACAUAAUUAAUCACAUCAAACAACUUCACAAAUGAUAUCCAAAUAUCAAGAUCAUUCAUAUGUAAUCCCUCAACAUCCUCAGAGCACCUAAAAAUGUAUCUAAAAGCAAAAUGAGUAUGAAAAACGACGAAAAAUUAAAAUCGUGCAAUAACCGUGCGAAUGGUUUUUACGCCCAUAAUUGCUCAGAAACAAAGUCUGAUGUUUUUAAGCUCCAAAAUCCUUUCUAACGUACACGUAACGCUAUGAAAAAUUAAAACCGACGCAAGUUUUUUACUUUGUUUCUUUGUUUGAGAAAAGUUUAAAAACGUUGGAUUCAAGAUAUUCAAAUUCAUUUCCAUUUAAAAACCCGCCAAAACAAUGCUUUUCAUAUUUUAAAAGCUUGACUCCAGUGAAAAUCGUUUUCAGAGCAAAACAUAAAAUUUCCAUUUCAAAAGAAUUAGGCUCGAGUGCUCCCCCUGCAAACUGCUAGAGCAAUUUACCACAUAAUUGAUCACAUCAAACAACUUCACAAAUGAUAUCCAAAUAUCAAGAUCAUUCAUAUGUAAUCCCUCAACAUCCUCAGAGCACCUAAAAAUGUAUCUAAAAGCAAAAUGAGUAUGAAAAACGACGAAAAAUUAAAAUCGUUGCAAUAACCGUGCGAAUGGUUUUUACGCCCAUAAUUGCUCAGAAACAAAGUCUGAUGUUUUUAAGCUCCAAAAUCCUUUCUAACUUACACGUAACGCUAUGAAAAAUUAAAACCGACGCAAGUUUUUUACUUUGUUUCUUUGUUUGAGAAAAGUUUAAAAACGUUGGAUUCAAGAUAUUCAAAUUCAUUUCCAUUUAAAAACCCGCCAAAACAAUGCUUUUCAUAAUUUAAAAGCUUGACUCCAGUGAAAAUCGUUUUCAGAGCAAAACAUAAAAUUUCCAUUUCAAAAGGAUUAGGCUUCGAGUGCUCCCCCUGCAAACUGCUAGAGCAAUUUACCACAUAAUUAAUCACAUCAAACAACUUCACAAAUGAUAUCCAAAUAUCAAGAUCAUUCAUAUGUAAUCCCUCAACAUCCUCAGAGCACCUAAAAAUGUAUCUAAAAGCAAAAUGAGUAUGAAAAACAACGAAAAAUUAAAAUCGUGCAAUAACCGUGCGAAUGGUUUUUGCGCCCAUAAUUGCUCAGAAACAAAGUCUGAUGUUUUUAAGCUCCAAAAUCCUUUCUAACUUACACGUAACGCUAUGAAAAAUUAAAACCGACGCAAGUUUUUUACUUUGUUUCUUUGUUUGAGAAAAGUUUAAAAACGUUGGAUUCAAGAUAUUCAAAUUCAUUUCCAUUUAAAAACCCGCCAAAACAAUGCUUUUCAUAUUUUAAAAGCUUGACUCCAGUGAAAAUCGUUUUCAGAGCAAAACAUAAAAUUUCCAUUUCAAAAGGAUUAGGCUUCGAGUGCUCCUCCCCCUGCAAACUGCUAGAGCAAUUUACCACAUAAUUGAUCACAUCAAACAACUUCACAAAUGAUAUCCAAAUAUCAAGAUCAUUCAUAUGUAAUCCCUCAACAUCCUCAGAGCACCUAAAAAUGUAUCUAAAAGCAAAAUGAGUAUGAAAAACGACGAAAAAUUAAAAUCGUGCAAUAACCGUGCGAAUGGUUUUUACGCCCAUAAUUGCUCAGAAACAAAGUCUGAUGUUUUUAAGCUCCAAAAUCCUUUCUAACUUACACGUAACGCUAUGAAAAUUAAAACCGACGCAAGUUUUUUACUUUGUUUCUUUGUUUGAGAAAAGUUUAAAAACGUUGGAUUCAAGAUAUUCAAGUUCAUUUCCAUUUAAAAACCCGCCAAAACAAUGCUUUCAUAUUUUAAAAGCUUGACUCCAGUGAAAAUCGUUUUCAGAGCAAAACAUAAAAUUUCCAUUUCAAAGGAUUAGGCUUCGAGUGCUCCCCCUGCAAACUGCUAGAGCAAUUUACCACAUAAUUGAUCACAUCAAACAACUUCACAAAUGAUAUCCAAAUAUCAAGAUCAUUCAUAUGUAAUCCCUCAACAUCCUCAGAGCACCUAAAAAUGUAUCUAAAAGCAAAAUGAGUAUGAAAAACGACGAAAAAUUAAAAUCGUGCAAUAACCGUGCGAAUGGUUUUUACGCCCAUAAUUGCUCAGAAACAAAGUCUGAUGUUUUUAAGCUCCAAAUCCUUUCUAACUUACACGUAACGCUAUGAAAAAUUAAAACCGACGCAAGUUUUUUACUUUGUUUCUUUGUUUGAGAAAAGUUUAAAAACGUUGGAUUCAAGAUAUUUCAAAUUCAUUUCCAUUUAAAAACCCGCCAAAACAAUGCUUUUCAUAUUUUAAAAGCUUGACUCUAGUGAAAAUCGUUUUCAGAGCAAAACAUAAAAUUUCCAUUCAAAAGGAUUAGGCUUCGAGUGCUCCCCCUGCAAACUGCUAGAGCAAUUUACCACAUAAUUAAUCACAUCAAACAACUUCACAAAUGAUAUCCAAAUAUCAAGAUCAUUCAUAUGUAAUCCCUCAACAUCCUCAGAGCACCUAAAAAUGUAUCUAAAAGCAAAAUAAGUAUGAAAAACAACGAAAAAUUAUAAUCGUGCAAUAAUCGUGCGAAUGUUUUUUCUGCCCAUAAUUGCUCGAAACAAAGUCUGAUUUCUAAGCUCCAAAAUCCUUUCUAAUUUACACAUAACAGAACGAAGAAUUAAAACCGACGCAAGUUUUUACUUUGUUUCCCUGUUUAAGAAAGUUUAAAACAUUGGACUAAAGAUAUUGAAAUUCAUUUCCAUUUAAAAACCCGCCAAAACAAUGCUUUCAUAUUUAAAGCUUCACUCCAGUGAAAAUCGUUUUCAAAGCAAAACAUAAAAUUUCAAAAGGAUUAGGCUUCGAGUGCUCCCCCUGCAAACUGCUAAAACAAUUUACCACAUAAUUAAUCACAUCAAACAACUUGACAAAUGAUAUCCAAAUAUCAAAAUCAUUCAUAUGUAAUCCCUCAACAUCCUCAGAGUACCUAAAAAUGUAUCUAAAAGCAAAAUAAGUAUGAAAAACAACGAAAAAUUAAAAUGGUACAAUAAUCGUGCGUAUGGUUUUUAUGCCCAUAAUUGCUCAGAAACAAAGUCUGAUGUUUUUAAGCUCCAAAAUCCUUUCUAACUUACACGUAAUGCUAUGAAAAAUUAAAACCGACGCAAGUUUUUACUUUGUUUCUUUGUUUGAGAAAGUUUAAAACAUUGGAUUCAAGAUAUUCAAGUUCAUUUCCAUUUAAAAACCCGCCAAAAACAAUGUUUUCAUAUUUUAAAGCUUGACUCCAGUGAAAAUCGUUUUCAGAGCAAAACAUAAAAUUUCAAAAGGAUUAGGCUUCGAGUGCUCCUCCUGCAAACUGCUAAAACAAUUUACCACAUAAUUAAUCACAUCAAACAACUUCACAAAUGAUAUCCAAAUAUCAAGAUCAUUCAUAUGUAAUCCCUCAACAUAUUCAGAGCACCUAAAAAUGUAUCUAAAAGCAAAAUAAGUAUGAAAAAUAACGAAAAAUUAAAAUCGUGCAAUAAUCGUGCGAAUGGUUUUUAUGUCCAUAAUUGCUCAGAAACAAAGUCUGAUGUUUUUAAGCUCCAAAAUCCUUUCUAACUUACACGUAACGCUAUGAAAAAUUAAAACCGACGCAAGUUUUUACUUUAUUUCUUUGUUUGAGAAAGUUUAAAACAUUGGAUUCAAGAUAUUGAAAUUCAUUUUCAUUUAAAAACCCGCCAAAACAAUGCUUUCACAUUUCAAAGCUUGACUCCAGUGAAAAUCGUUUUCAAAGCAAAACAUAAAAUUUCAAAAAGAUUAGGCUUCGAGUGCUCCCUUUGCAAACUGCUAAAACAAUUUACCACGUAAUUAAUCACAUCAAACAACUUUACAAAUGAUAUCCAAAUAUCAAGAUCAUUCAUAUGUAAUUCCUCAGCAUCCUCAGAGCACCUAAAAAUGUAUCUAAAAGCAAAAUAAGUAUGAAAAACAACGAAAAAUUAAAAUCGUGCAAUAAUCGUGCGAAUAGUUUUUAUGCCCAUAAUUGCUCAGAAACAAAGUGUGAUGUUUUAAGCAUGUAAUUUCUCAACAUCCUCAGAGCACCUAAAAAUAUAUCUAAAAGCAAAAUAAGUAUGAAAAACAACGAAAAAUUAAAAUCGUGCAAUAAUCGUGCGAAUGGUUUUUAUGCCCAUAAUUGCUCAGAAACAAAGUGUGAUGUUUUAAGCAUGUAAUUCCUCAACAUCCUCAGAGCACCUAAAAAUGUAUCUAAAAGCAAAAUAAGUAUGAAAAACAACGAAAAAUUAAAAUCGUGCAAUAAUCGUGCGAAUGGUUUUUAUGCCCAUAAUUGCUCAGAAACAAAGUCUGAUGUUUUAAGCAUGUAAUUCCUCAAUAUCCUCAGAGCACGUAAAAAUGUAUCUAAAAGCAAAAUAAGUAUGAAAAACAACGAAAAAUUAAAAUCGUGCAAUAAUCGUGCGAAUCGUUUUUAUGCCCAUAAUAGCUCAGAAACAAAGUCUGAUGUUUUAAGCUCUAAAAUCCUUUCUAACUUACACGUAACACUAUGAAAAAUUAAAACCGACGCAAGUUUUUACUUUGUUUCUUCGUUUGAGAAAGUUUAAAACAUUGGAUUCAAGAUAUUCAAAUUCAUUUCCAUUUAAAAACCCGCCAAAACAAUGCUUUCAUAUUUUAAAGCUUGACUCAAGUGAAAAUCGUUUUCAAAGCAAAACAUAAAAUUUCAAAAGGAUUAGGCUUCGAGUGCUCCCCCUGCAAACUGCUAAAACAAUUUACCACAUAAUUAAUCACAUCAAACAACUUCAAAAAUAAUAUCUAAAUAUCAAGAUCAUUCAUAUGUAAUUCCUCAACAUCCUCAGUGCACCUAAAAAUGUAUCUAAAAGCAAAAUAAGUAUGAAAAACAACGAAAAAUUAAAAUUGUGCAAUAAUCGUGCGAAUGGUUUUUAUGCCCAUAAUUGCUCAAAAACAAAGUCUGAUGUUUUAAGCUCCAAAAUCCUUUCUAACUUACACGUAACACUAUGAAAAAUUAAAACCGACGCAAGUUUUUACUUUGUUUCUUCGUUUGAGAAAGUUUAAAACAUUGGAUUCAAGAUAUUCAAAUUCAUUUCCAUUUAAAAAUCCGCCAAAACAAUGCUUGCAUAUUUUAAAGCUUGACUCCAGUGAAAAUCGUUUUCAAAGCAAAACAUAAAAUUUCAAAAGGAUUAGGCUUCGAGUGCUCCCCCUGCAAACUGCUAAAAUAAUUUACCACAUAAUUAAUCACAUCAAACAACUUCACAAAUAAUAUCCAAAUAUCAAGAUCAUUAUAUGUAAUUCCUCAACAUCCUCAGAGCACCUAAAAAUGUAUCUAAAAGCAAAUAAGUAUGAAAAACAACGAAAAAUUAAAAUCGUGCAAUAAUCGUGUGAAUGGUUUUUCUGCCCAUAAUUGUUCAGAAACAAAGUCUGAUGUUUUAAGCUCCAAAAUCCUUUCUAACUUACACGUAACACUAUGAAAAAUUAAAACCGACGCAAGUUUUUACUUUGUUUCUUUGUUUGAGAAAGUUUAAAACAUUGGAUUCAAGAUAUUGAAAUUCAUUUCCAUUUAAAAAUCCGUCAAAACAAUGCUUUCAUAUUUUAAAGCUUGACUCCAGUGAAAAUCGUUUUCAAAGCAAAACAUAAAAUUUCAAAAGGAUUAGGCUUCGAGUGCUCCCCCUGCAAACUGCUAAAACAAUUUACUACAUAAUUAAUCACAUCAAGCACCGAUAACAACUUCAAAAUAAUAUUCAAAUAUGAAG